This 547-nucleotide ribosomal RNA is filed under the name Costoanachis hotessieriana. RNAcentral describes it as "partial small subunit ribosomal RNA". Lineage: Eukaryota; Metazoa; Mollusca; Gastropoda; Neogastropoda; Columbellidae. The record is from RNAcentral.
UACCAAAAGAUUAAGUUAUAUAGAUUGGUAAAAAGACAGUUAAGUAUUAAAAUUAUAAGCUUAAUAAAUUUUUAUAUGAAGGUAAAAUUUGAAUAUAAAAUAUUAAUUUUAUUUAAGCUAACAUAUUGAAGCUGUGAUAGUUUUGAGGGAAACUGGGAUUAGAUACCCCAUUAUUCAUAUAUCGUAAAAUAACAUGAGUUUACCAGAGUACUAUGAAUAUUAAAAAUUUAAAACUCAAAGGGCUUGGCGGUGUCUUAGACCAAUUAGGGGAACCUGUCUCAUAAUCGACAGUCCACGUAAUACCUAGCCUUUUUUAGCAAAACAGUUUAUAUACCGUCGUCGUCAGGUAACUUUUAAAAAUAAAGAAGUUAGCAAAGUAAGUUAUAUUAAGUAAGACGUCAGAUCAAGGUGUAGCUCAUAAAGAGGGGAGGAUGGGUUACAAUUAUCUAUUUAUAAUUAUGAAUAGCUUAAUGAAAAAAUCUUGAAGGAGGACUUAAAAGUAAUAAGUAUAAUAUAUAAAUAAUUUGAAUUAGGCUCUGAGACGUGC